AACUUCUGAAUGUUGACCUCGGAUCAGGUAGGAAUACCCGCUGAACUUAAGCAUAUCAAUAAGCGGAGGAAAAGAAACCAACAGGGAUUGCCCUAGUAACGGCGAGUGAAGCGGCAACAGCUCAAAUUUGAAAUCUGGCUUUCGGGCCCGAGUUGUAAUUUGUAGAGGAUGACCUUGAUGCGGUGCCUUCCGAGUUCCCCUGGAACGGGACGCCAUAGAGGGUGAGAGCCCCGUCUGGUUGGAUGCCAAAUCUCUGUAAGUCUCCUUCGACGAGUCGAGUAGUUUGGGAAUGCUGCUCUAAAUGGGAGGUAUAUGUCUUCUAAAGCUAAAUACCGGCCAGAGACCGAUAGCGCACAAGUAGAGUGAUCGAAAGAUGAAAAGCACUUUGAAAAGAGAGUUAAAAAGUACGUGAAAUUGUUGAAAGGGAAGCGUUUAUGACCAGACUUGGGCUUGGUUAAUCAUCUGGGGUUCUCCCCAGUGCACUUUUCCAGUCCAGGCCAGCAUCAGUUUUCGCCGGGGGAUAAAGACUUCGGGAAUGUGGCUCCUCUCGGGGAGUGUUAUAGCCCGUUGUGUAAUACCCUGGCGGGGACUGAGGUUCGCGCUUCUGCAAGGAUGCUGGCGUAAUGGUCAUCAACGACCCGUCUUGAAACACGGACCAAGG
This 661-nucleotide ribosomal RNA is filed under the name Fusarium venenatum. RNAcentral's name for it is "eukaryotic LSU rRNA". It matches the Rfam family "Eukaryotic large subunit ribosomal RNA", at positions 1 to 671 of the family's 3401-position model. Lineage: Eukaryota; Fungi; Ascomycota; Sordariomycetes; Hypocreales; Nectriaceae. The record is from RNAcentral.